CCGAUCCCCGCUCCCUCCCCGCUCCGUCUCUGCUCCCUCCCCGCUCCCGGCCCCGCUCCGCGCCCCCCGCCCGGCUCCAUCUUGUUCGCGGCCGCCGCGGAGCCGCUCCAGCCCCCAGCGUGCUGUGAUGGCCCCGGACGCCUGAGCCCCUGUGGCAGGGACAAGACAUGGAGACCGUUGUCAUCGUGGCCAUCGGGGUGCUGGCCACCAUCUUCCUGGCGUCCUUCGUGGCGCUGGUGGUGGUGUGCAGGCAGCGCUACUGUCACCCCAAGGACCUGCGCCACCACUACGACACCAAACCCAUCGUGGACCUGAUGGGGACCACGGAGACGCCAUCAGAGCCCUCGGAGCUGGAGCUGGACGAUGUGGUCAUCACCAACCCCCACAUAGAGGCCAUCCUGGAGAACGAGGACUGGGUCGAGGACGCCUCGGGUCUGGUGUCCCACUGCAUCGCCAUCCUGAAGAUCUGUCACACACUGACGGAGAAGUUGGUGGCCAUGACCAUGGGCUCGGGUGCACGAGUGAAGUCCCCAGCCAGCCUGGGUGACAUCAUCGUGGUGGCCAAGCGCAUCAGCCCCAGGGUGGACGACGUGGUGAGAUCCAUGUAUCCCCCGCUGGACCCCAAACUGCUGGAUGCGAGGGCCGCGGCGCUGCUGCUGUCCGUCAGUCACCUGGUGCUGGUGACCCGCAGCGCCUGUCGCCAGCCGGCCGCUCGCCACUGGGUCGAGCGCUCGCUGGCGGCCGCCGAGGAGCACAUGGCCGUGCUGCGCCAGGCCGCCAUGGCCACCGAGCCCGAGCGGCCACCGGCCCCCGGAGAGCCACCCCGCCAGGAGCAGUCGGCCAUCUGACCCCAGUGAAGGCCAUCAGACCCCAAUAAAGGCCAUCUAUCCCCAAAAAAGGCCAUUGGACCCCAAUAAAGGCCAUUGGACCCCAAUAAAGGCCAUCUGUCCCCAGUAAAGGCCAUCUGUCCCAGUAAAGGCUAUGAGACCCCAAUACAGGCCACCUGACCCCAAUACAGGCCAUCUGACCCCAAUAAAGGCCGUCGAACCCCAAUAAAGGCCCCAUGUGCCCCCAACCCCACAAGGUUGCUCUGGGA
Molecule: RNA transcript, 1096 nt
Organism: Zonotrichia leucophrys gambelii
Lineage: Eukaryota; Metazoa; Chordata; Aves; Passeriformes; Passerellidae
Gene: TMEM98
Gene name: transmembrane protein 98
Exons: 8
Source: RefSeq, a predicted model, not a curated record